Molecule: long non-coding RNA, 583 nt
Organism: Maniola jurtina (meadow brown)
Lineage: Eukaryota; Metazoa; Arthropoda; Insecta; Lepidoptera; Nymphalidae
Exons: 3
Source: RefSeq, a predicted model, not a curated record
AACACAAAAACUGGCCACUCCACAACAUGCGCGCCAGCAAACGCCAACACAGACGAAGUCCUCCAUUCUGUAGUUUGUGGUUUGUUGUACUUUGUCUGUCAAAUUGUCAAUGUGUGUAUGUAUUUUCUGAAUGUUUUUGAUUCGUGGCGUGGUUUCUAGUUCACGAGAUGCAAUAGAAGUGUACACCGAUGGAUCCAAAACAAAAACCGGCACAGGAGCAGGAGCCUACUGCCAAGAACUAAACAUGAAAAUACUCGAUGAACGUUGUGGUGUUAGAAUACGAAGAGAGUAUGCAGAGGAAUGCUGUAGAAAUCACGCAACUUCAAGAGCAGCUCAGGAUGCAGGCUGCGACAUAUGACGUCAAUAUUGACACAUAUCGUAAGCUUUUCACCAGCCACCACGAUUACUUAUGGACGAAUCAAUUUUGAGUCAAUCUUCUGCACAUUAUGCUGAGGGGAUUUAGUUCCUCAGGGCUUGUGGGAGCCCGGGUACAGGUUAUUUGACCGCCGCCUGUUGCUCGGCGUUGUCGGCUCGUUUGGCACCACCCAGGGGACACGUGUAGGGUGGGUCUUAGGAUAAGAUG